RNAcentral lists this transfer RNA (185 nucleotides) under Alkalicaulis satelles. RNAcentral describes it as "Hyphomonadaceae bacterium G-192 tRNA-Pro". The stretch from base 116 to 182 matches the Rfam family "tRNA". Lineage: Bacteria; Pseudomonadati; Pseudomonadota; Alphaproteobacteria; Maricaulales; Maricaulaceae. The record is from RNAcentral.
GCAUCUGUAGCUCAAUCGGAAAAAUAGCUGGAACAGGAAACCGGGAAGCGGCGAGACGUUCAUUGUGAUUGUCCAGGGCAUCGUCAUGAGAAAACGGAUCGCAAGCGGAAUGGGGACCUCUACAGCUCAAGAGCACCAGCUUUGGGAGUUGGAAGGUGCGGGUUCGAAUCCCGUCAGAUGCGCCA